UUAAAUGCAAAAUCCAACAUAAAGAUAGAUCUGUUUCGUCACACUUCGAUGAAAAGGUGUCGUCAGAUUAAUCGAAAGUCAGAAUUUAUUCUUUUUGAAUGAAUUUGCUGUUAGUAGUAGCUCUAUGAGAAAAUGUUUCAAGUCUCGAGUGGCUUUGAAAGCACAUCGAUGGUGCGACAUUCUCCUAGGGUUCUCUAGCAUUACACGCUAAAGAAUCCRAGUGCCAGUGAUGUGUGCCUGUUGAGAUUGAGAAAAAUCAAACAUGAAUAUCAAWGAGUGAUUCUACAAGCAAUGAAAUGUCAUUU
Molecule: unclassified non-coding RNA, 305 nt
Filed under: Sarcoptes scabiei
Lineage: Eukaryota; Metazoa; Arthropoda; Arachnida; Sarcoptiformes; Sarcoptidae
Description: ITS2
Source: RNAcentral